GACGGAGGGUGCAAGCGUUGUUCGGAAUCACUGGGCGUAAAGCGCGUGUAGGCGGUUCGAUAAGUCGGACGUGAAAGCCCGGAGCUCAACUCCGGAAGUGCAUCCGAAACUGUCGGGCUUGAGUACGGGAGAGGGAAGCGGAAUUCCUGGUGUAGAGGUGAAAUUCGUAGAUAUCAGGAGGAACACCGGUGGCGAAGGCGGCUUCCUGGACCGAUACUGACGCUGAGACGCGAAAGCGUGGGGAG
Molecule: ribosomal RNA, 245 nt
Filed under: uncultured Desulfomonile sp.
Lineage: Bacteria; Pseudomonadati; Thermodesulfobacteriota; Desulfomonilia; Desulfomonilales; Desulfomonilaceae
Description: partial 16S ribosomal RNA
Rfam family: Bacterial small subunit ribosomal RNA
Source: RNAcentral